This 491-nucleotide ribosomal RNA is filed under the name uncultured bacterium. RNAcentral's name for it is "partial 16S ribosomal RNA". It matches the Rfam family "Bacterial small subunit ribosomal RNA", at positions 29 to 507 of the family's 1533-position model. The record is from RNAcentral.
GUGAACGCUGGCGGUAGGCCUAACACCUGCAAGUCGCACGGCAGCACAGUAAGAGCUUGCUCUUACGGGUGGCGAGUGGCGGACGGGUGAGGAAUACAUCGGAAUCUACUUUUUCGUGGGGGAUAACGUAGGGAAACUUACGCUAAUACCGCAUACGACCUACGGGUGAAAGCAGGGGAUCUUCGGACCUUGCGCGAUUGAAUGAGCCGAUGUCGGAUUAGCUAGUUGGCGGGGUAAGGGCCCACCAAGGCGACGAUCCGUAGCUGGUCUGAGAGGAUGAUCAGCCACACUGGAACUGAGACACGGUCCAGACUCCUACGGGAGGCAGCAGUGGGGAAUAUUGGACAAUGGGCGCAAGCCUGAUCCAGCCAUACCGCGUGGGUGAAGAAGGCCUUCGGGUUGUAAAGCCCUUUUGUUGGGAAAGAAAAGCAGCAGGUUAAUACCCCGCUGUUCUGACGGUACCCAAAGAAUAAGCACCGGCUAACUUCGUG